This 766-nucleotide long non-coding RNA is filed under the name Homo sapiens (human). RNAcentral describes it as "non-protein coding lnc-TCFL5-5:1". Lineage: Eukaryota; Metazoa; Chordata; Mammalia; Primates; Hominidae. The record is from RNAcentral.
CUUUUUAAAAACUUACUUUCCUGGGAAGAGUGACUUUGUUAGCUGCACGGUGCUGUCUCUUAAGUAGGGACUUCAUGCCUUAAAGUCCCUGCUCUCAAGCCUCCGUAGGUGUAAUGUUCAUCUUAAGGUCGAGGCCAAAAGCCCAGGCCCCAGGGCUGCCUUUUAACAGCUUCUGUUGCACCCAGAGCCAUGCAGGGACACUCUGGCCAGCUGUUUGCACCCAGGAAGGCAGCGGCGGAUGCCGGGGCGUGCCUGGGGGCUGGGUGCCCAGAGCUGCUUUCGCUGUGCUAAGCAGGAGGGGCAGGAGCCAGAAAGGGCGACUGACAGACACGGCAAGAGGAGAAAGGAGGCUCAGUGUCCCGAAAACACAGCCAGGGCCAGAGCCGGGACAGGAGGAGCCUGGGAGAAGCUGUGCAGCUUUGCCUUCAUUCCUUUUGCCCCAGCCUGUGCCCAGCUCACCUGGUCUCCCUUAGGGCCUGCGGCACCUCCCGGACCCUGGAUGUGGAGAGAAGGCUCUGGAUUAGAGGAAUGGCAGGAAUCCCUAAAGUGAGCCUGCCCUGGGCCCAGGAAUGGUAAACACCUCCCCACAUCUCCAUCUGUGCUGCACAAAGGGCUUCUGUGAACACCGGCUCCCAGACACAGGCCCAAAGGCCAAGCUCACGUUCACAGCCUCUGGGCCCGAUGGCUCUGUCCAGCCUCCCCUUGUGGGUAGUGAAGUCCCGUUAGGUUUGCACUGUUUGUAACACCCGUGAAUUCGUGCGGGUGU